This 163-nucleotide ribosomal RNA is filed under the name Tiquilia mexicana. Its description in RNAcentral is "5.8S ribosomal RNA". It matches the Rfam family "5.8S ribosomal RNA". Rfam says of the family: 5.8S ribosomal RNA (5.8S rRNA) is a component of the large subunit of the eukaryotic ribosome. The record is from RNAcentral. Lineage: Eukaryota; Viridiplantae; Streptophyta; Magnoliopsida; Boraginales; Ehretiaceae.
CAACGACUCUCGGCAACGGAUAUCUCGGCUCUCGCAUCGAUGAGGAACGUAGCGAAAUGCGAUACUUGGUGUGAAUUGCAGAAUCCCGUGAACCAUCGAGUCUUUGAACGCAAGUUGCGCCCGAAGCCGUCGGGCCGAGGGCACGUCUGCCUGGGCGUCACGC